Molecule: ribosomal RNA, 497 nt
Filed under: uncultured bacterium
Lineage: Bacteria
Description: partial 16S ribosomal RNA
Rfam family: Bacterial small subunit ribosomal RNA
Source: RNAcentral
GACGAACGCUGGCGGCGUGCCUAAUACAUGCAAGUAGAACGCUGAAGAGAGGAGCUUGCUCUUCUUGGAUGAGUUGCGAACGGGUGAGUAACGCGUAGGUAACCUGCCUUGUAGCGGGGGAUAACUAUUGGAAACGAUAGCUAAUACCGCAUAACAAUGGAUGACACAUGUCAUUUAUUUGAAAGGGGCAAUUGUUCCACUACAAGAUGGACCUGCGUUGUAUUAGCUAGUAGGUGAGGUAAUGGCUCACCUAGGCGACGAUACAUAGCCGACCUGAGAGGGUGAUCGGCCACCCUGGGACUGGGACACGGCCCAGACUCCUACGGGAGGCAGCAGUAGGGAAUCUUCGGCAAUGGGGGCAACCCUGACCGAGCAACGCCGCGUGAGUGAAGAAGGUUUUCGGAUCGUAAAGCUCUGUUGUAAGUCAAGAACGGGUGUGGGAGUGGAAAGUUCACACUGUGACGGUAGCUUACCAGAAAGGGACGGCUAACUACGUG